ACGAUUAAGGCCAAUAUAGAGGCCAUGCGCCAUGAGAUUCAACGAGGAAGCGAUUGGUGCAAAGUCGAUGAUGAAGUUCGAGAGUGGGUACUCUGUGGAAAUCGUGUUUGAUGGAAGCAAGCUUGGAAUUGAGCCUUAUGCAGUUGAGGUGUUGCCUAAUGGGGAGCUUUUCAUUCUGGAUUCGGCUAAUAGUAACAUUUAUAGGAUUUCGUCCUUGCUUUCUUUGAGCUGAGGGUGCAACAAUGUCUGGCAUUUCACCUUGAGUUGCUAAAUGAAGCAGAAGUGGCAGCUGUUGCAGAAGAGAAAGAAACCCAUUCAUUUGAAAUUGAUCC
Molecule: long non-coding RNA, 332 nt
Organism: Glycine soja
Lineage: Eukaryota; Viridiplantae; Streptophyta; Magnoliopsida; Fabales; Fabaceae
Exons: 3
Source: RefSeq, a predicted model, not a curated record